This is a long non-coding RNA of Rosa rugosa (rugosa rose), 1566 nucleotides long. RefSeq lists it as uncharacterized. The transcript has 2 exons. Lineage: Eukaryota; Viridiplantae; Streptophyta; Magnoliopsida; Rosales; Rosaceae. The record is from RefSeq and is a predicted model, not a curated record.
UGCCAUGGGAAAUCACGAAGAUAAUGUGAAAAUCAAGGAGAUUACAUUGAGAAUAUCAAGGGAGAGUUUCAAGGGAAUGUGCAACAAGAAAAGGCUCAAAACAAGUCUAGAUUCAUCCCUCAAUUCCUUCAAGAUAUGUUGGCCGAAAUUAAGGAAUUAAAAUCUGCAGUUUUAAUGUGAAAAUCAAGAGAAAAUCAAGGGGAGGAUGUUAAGGAUAAAGCCAUGGAGAGAUUUAAGGGAGAAAAGGUCCAAAACAAGUCCAGAUUCAUUCCUAUUUUCACUCAAGAAUAUUUUGGCAGAAAAUUGUGAAUAAAAUCAGAUUAAAUCUUGGGAAAAUCAGCAAUAAUAUAUUUGGAAAGAUUAUGGACUUAUUUUGGAGGCUUUUGAUUAGCUGGAUGACUCAACAGUGCUGACAUGGCAUUCUGUGAUUGGUCGAAGCUGUGUGGCAUGACUAGAUAAUUUUUUGGGAAAUUAAAAAGAAGAUUCAUGAAGCUUGGCCGUCCCCCUAUAUAAACCCCCCUAGACAACACCACAACACCACCACAACACACCACAACAACACACCUCUCUCACUCAGAAAAUAAAUAUCAGAAAAAUUCUCUCCAUUCUCUAGUCUUCAGAAGCUCCGCGUCUCAACCAAGAAGGAGAAGAAGUCAUGCAAUACAUCAAGAUCCUAGCCACCAUCCAUCCUUGUGUCGUCCCUAGAAGAUUGCUUGCUUUCAAGGAUCUUCAAGUUCUUCGUCUCAAGGCUUGUCAUUCAUCUUUCACGGUGUGUACCCUCAAUCCCCGGUUAGAACGAUCCCUAUUUACCAUAUACUAACGAUGACAUUUUUCAGGGUUAAAUUGCGCGCUACUUUAAGCGUAUCAGAGUGAGAAUUGUGAACCUUUCCCGGAGAUAAACCUUGUGUUUUAUGCUUAUCAGCACCACCAUCAGCUGAAGCCAAUUGGGCCGCAAAGCUUGUUAUGACGUCAACACUAGAGUCCAUAAGGAAUCAGAGAGAGGAAUGGAAGGAAGAGAAGGGAAAGCGCUCACAAGAUAGAGUUUAGGGUCUGCAAUAGCAGCUUAGGGCUCUUGUCGAAUUUUGGUGGAAUUUCUCCUAAGGUGGUCACCAAGGAACCUUCAUAGGUUUUGAGAUGGAACUCUAGGACGGGUCCUGUCAUAAUUGCAGCUGCCACCAACCACAUUACCCUAGGGUUUGCUCUUAUCUACUUUUUGUUUAAUGGCACAUGAGUCACUAACAAUACAAUAUAUACUCUCUUUAGUCUUUAAUAAUACGAGCAACGAGCCUGCGUUUUUCGCGGGUGAUAUUGUAAGGUUAAUGAAAAAUGAGUCGACUAAAAAGAAUAGUGUGUUCAAGUAAAUCCAGAAUAUGUGUCUGACCCAAACUCUAGGUUACUUGCUCUAGUUGUAAUAGGGUUUGUAUUAGAGAUAAUCUCGGAGAAUCUUAGUAGAUAUCCAAUCAAUGUACGAUUAUAUUUCCAUGUACAACUCUAUCUCUAUGCUUGUAAUCCUCUAUAUAAAGAGGCCCCUAUUAUCAAUGAAAGCACGACUCAAUUCUCUCCCAA